GGGCCCGUGGCACAGCUUGGUUAGCGCGCUCGGCUGAUAACCGGGAGGUCGCCGGUUCAAUGAAAGAGAGUUGCGACUUUCUUUCGGACAUAUCCGGCUGGGCCCACCA
Molecule: transfer RNA, 109 nt
Filed under: Candidatus Heimdallarchaeota archaeon
Lineage: Archaea; Promethearchaeati; Candidatus Heimdallarchaeota
Description: tRNA-Ile
Source: RNAcentral